Molecule: ribosomal RNA, 539 nt
Filed under: Vibrio parahaemolyticus
Lineage: Bacteria; Pseudomonadati; Pseudomonadota; Gammaproteobacteria; Vibrionales; Vibrionaceae
Description: bacterial SSU rRNA
Rfam family: Bacterial small subunit ribosomal RNA
Source: RNAcentral
AGAUGGAUUGGUGCCUUCGGGAACUCUGAGACAGGUGCUGCAUGGCUGUCGUCAGCUCGUGUUGUGAAAUGUUGGGUUAAGUCCCGCAACGAGCGCAACCCUUAUCCUUGUUUGCCAGCGAGUAAUGUCGGGAACUCCAGGGAGACUGCCGGUGAUAAACCGGAGGAAGGUGGGGACGACGUCAAGUCAUCAUGGCCCUUACGAGUAGGGCUACACACGUGCUACAAUGGCGCAUACAGAGGGCGGCCAACUUGCGAAAGUGAGCGAAUCCCAAAAAGUGCGUCGUAGUCCGGAUUGGAGUCUGCAACUCGACUCCAUGAAGUCGGAAUCGCUAGUAAUCGUGGAUCAGAAUGCCACGGUGAAUACGUUCCCGGGCCUUGUACACACCGCCCGUCACACCAUGGGAGUGGGCUGCAAAAGAAGUAGGUAGUUUAACCUUCGGGGGGACGCUUACCACUUUGUGGUUCAUGACUGGGGUGAAGUCGUAACAAGGUAGCGCUAGGGGAACCUGGCGCUGGAUCACCUCCUUAAACGAUGAU